AAGCAAAGAAAAUUGAGAGAGGGAUUAGGGUUAGAAAUGUUGUUCUUCUUCUCUCAGGCCAUAAAACAGCGCCACUUUCUCCCUUCGUCUCAUCUCCAUUCUCACGCAACGGCAGCCUCUCUGUUCACCACCAUCAGCUUCGUCCAAACUCCUUUCUUCCUCUUCUCCGUUACUGCAAUCGGUGCAUGUACUUAUCUCCACCAUCUCUCAUCAACAAACAUUGUCCUAUUCCAAUCGAUUCUCAACCCAUAACCAUCAUAUUUUAUACAUGUUCAUCACCAUAUCACCUCUAUCUGCUUCGUGAUAAACUCCCUUUGUCUCCUCUCUUCGUCUAUAAUAUCUCGUUGUGUUUCUCAAUGUUCGUCCUCCUCUCAGCUAUUGCAAAUCAUCACCUUCACUGCUUCCAUCGCGAAUCCAUUUUCCUCUCGCUCUCUUUAUUGAAUCCACUGAACAAAAAUAACAUGCACUAUACUAGCGGAAGGAAUUAG
Non-coding RNA from Vicia faba (fava bean), 488 nucleotides. The record is from the annotation of a GenBank genome assembly. Lineage: Eukaryota; Viridiplantae; Streptophyta; Magnoliopsida; Fabales; Fabaceae.